AGAGUUUGAUCCUGGCUCAGAUUGAACGCUGGCGGCAUGCUUUACACAUGCAAGUCGAACGGUAACAGGCCGCAAGGUGCUGACGAGUGGCGAACGGGUGAGUAAUGCAUCGGAACGUGCCCAGUCGUGGGGGAUAACGCAGCGAAAGCUGCGCUAAUACCGCAUACGAUCUAUGGAUGAAAGCGGGGGACCGUAAGGCCUCGCGCGAUUGGAGCGGCCGAUGUCAGAUUAGGUAGUUGGUGGGGUAAAGGCUCACCAAGCCAACGAUCUGUAGCUGGUCUGAGAGGACGACCAGCCACACUGGAACUGAGACACGGUCCAGACUCCUACGGGAGGCAGCAGUGGGGAAUUUUGGACAAUGGGCGCAAGCCUGAUCCAGCAAUGCCGCGUGCAGGAAGAAGGCCUUCGGGUUGUAAACUGCUUUUGUACGGAACGAAACGGUCUGAGUUAAUACCUCGGGCUAAUGACGGUACCGUAAGAAUAAGCACCGGCUAACUACGUGCCAGCAGCCGCGGUAAUACGUAGGGUGCAAGCGUUAAUCGGAAUUACUGGGCGUAAAGCGUGCGCAGGCGGUGAUGUAAGACAGUCGUGAAAUCCCCGGGCUCAACCUGGGAAUUGCGAUUGUGAUUGCAUCGCUGGAGUGCGGCAGAGGGGGAUGGAAUUCCGCGUGUAGCAGUGAAAUGCGUAGAUAUGCGGAGGAACACCGAUGGCGAAGGCAAUCCCCUGGGCCUGCACUGACGCUCAUGCACGAAAGCGUGGGGAGCAAACAGGAUUAGAUACCCUGGUAGUCCACGCCCUAAACGAUGUCAACUGGUUGUUGGGUCUCUUCUGACUCA
This 836-nucleotide ribosomal RNA is filed under the name uncultured bacterium. RNAcentral describes it as "bacterial SSU rRNA". It matches the Rfam family "Bacterial small subunit ribosomal RNA", at positions 8 to 842 of the family's 1533-position model. The record is from RNAcentral.